This is a non-coding RNA of Phthorimaea operculella (potato tuberworm), 76 nucleotides long. The record is from the annotation of a GenBank genome assembly. NCBI's taxonomy places the organism in Eukaryota, Metazoa, Arthropoda, Insecta, Lepidoptera, Gelechiidae.
GCCGCGGUAGCCCAGAUGGUAGAGGCGUCGCCAGUACAGAUGACGAAAGUCUCAGGUUUAAAUCCUGCUUGCGGUA